UGGGGAAUAUUGGGCAAUGGGCGCAAGCCUGACCCAGCAACGCCGCGUGAAGGAAGAAGGCUUUCGGGUUGUAAACUUCUUUUAUCAGGGACGAAGCAAGUGACGGUACCUGAUGAAUAAGCCACGGCUAACUACGUGCCAGCAGCCGCGGUAAUACGUAGGUGGCGAGCGUUAUCCGGAUUUACUGGGUGUAAAGGGCGUGUAGGCGGGCUUGCAAGUCAGAUGUGAAAUUCCAGGGCUCAACCCUGGAACUGCAUUUGAAACUGUAGGUCUUGAGUGCUGGAGAGGCAAUCGGAAUUCCGUGUGUAGCGGUGAAAUGCGUAGAUAUACGGAGGAACACCAGUGGCGAAGGCGGAUUGCUGGACAGUAACUGACGCUGAGGCGCGAAAAGCGUGGGGAGCAAACAGGAUUAGAUACCC
This 419-nucleotide ribosomal RNA is filed under the name uncultured bacterium. Its description in RNAcentral is "bacterial SSU rRNA". It matches the Rfam family "Bacterial small subunit ribosomal RNA", at positions 355 to 787 of the family's 1533-position model. The record is from RNAcentral.